This is a long non-coding RNA of Betta splendens (Siamese fighting fish), 2018 nucleotides long. RefSeq lists it as uncharacterized. The record is from RefSeq and is a predicted model, not a curated record. NCBI's taxonomy places the organism in Eukaryota, Metazoa, Chordata, Actinopteri, Anabantiformes, Osphronemidae. The transcript has 2 exons.
CGCACCGGAGCAGGAGCCGGCUGCGCUUGUUGUCAUAUGACACAUUACAGUUUCAUGUUCCCGCUGUGUUCCAAAUAUAUAUGUCUCUAUUUGAUUUUAUCCCGACGAGGGUAAGAGGUUACAACCGGUGACCUCAGCGUCUUGGAACGAUGGCGACUUUGAUAAAGGGAGAAUCGAGAGGCAGCCGUGAACUGGAUCCGACGCAGGAAACGUCCCCGGAGCUUUGGGCGUCUCAUGGUUUCGCGCGACGCCCGUGUUUGUGUUUUUUUUUUUACAAAGUGUUUUCGAGGGACGGUUUCUCCCAUCUGAGACCGAGGAGCCGGAUAUUUGUAGCCCGCAGUGAGCGGUGAACAUGAGACAGAGAAAUGGCAGCAUCAGUCAGAAAUACAUCCAUCCUAAUUGACUUCCUGGCCUCACUGACAUCUCACAUUAAUGAUGGAUAACUGCGGGAAACGAGGGAAUCUAUAGUCAGGUCUCUGCAGACAAGCAGCACUAGAAAGUUUAAAGUCACCUGAUUCCAGUUAUUGUAAACAAAAUUUUAUUGGCCAUAAAAUAGCUUCUCAGCGCUGCCUGUGCAUUUUACACAGCUAAUGUUAUGUUAUAUAUUAUUACUAUAAACAUUAGAUAAUACAGAUAAAAAACAUCAUUUCCAUUUGUACUUGCAUAAAAUUCCUGCACUGCAGCAUUUCAACUGAAAGUAAGAAUGUUUCUAGAGAGAAAUAAAUUAUCAUUUUUCCUCAGAAGAGGUGUUUUCUCACAAUGUUAUAUCUUAUAAUAAAUGCAACUGGAUGCCAGCCCACAUGGCAGAAAAUAAAUGCUAGUGCCUCUUACCACGCGUUCCCCGUAGUCCUUAACUUUUUAAUCAAUUAAAGUCCUGCUCCAUAAAAUUAAUGACUGGGUGUAGCUCUUCUGCAGCGCAGACAGCAGCAGCUCCCUGAAGUCAGGAGCGAUGAGAUUUGACCUUCCACUUAAUUAAAAACCAGCAAAAUCUGGAUCAUCUGGCCCGACUGGUGCGGGCAGCGCGCUGAUGGAGUGUGGGGGCCCAGGGGAGCUGUGGGAUGCGCUGCUUUUGCCGUCGGCAUUGUCAUAUUGAAAUCAGAGACAUUUUCCUGUCCCCGGUUCGAGUCACAAGAGGGAAGAAAUUCCCUGCAUGUCCAGCCUUUUGAACAGCGCCAUUACAAAGGCACAUUCAUGAAGUUUUAAUGACCUUUUAUCCCAUGUUCAUCCUGAUAGCAGUUGGCAUUAUCCAUUACCCAAACAAGUGACCCCCCCCGAGGAGACAGCGCGCGCCUCCGUCCUUCACGUUUGCUGUGCUCCUCAGCUGGGCGCAAAAAUACAGUUAGAGGCGAUGGAAUCAGCUGUUUUAUGUCGCAGGUGUUUAGCUUCCACUGAACAGUAAAGGUCAGACGUUUGGUUUGAGGGAAGCUCGGGACGUAUUUGGUGAGGUUCCAGGAAACGCACACAUUCAAUUUUAUAUAAUGUUGCUUUUCAAAAUAAAGUCCACUGUUCCAGUGAAUAGGAAAACCAGUGUGGCAUGAAAAUCAUGAAAUCACGAAACCUGAGCAAAUAUUAGAUAAAUGAUUUAUUUUAAACUUCCCACUGAGGAGCGAGACAUUGAACACACCACUCGGGAGAUUGCUGCUCCUGGUGUUUAUCUGAUGCAGCUGCUGUUUCAGACUGUUUGUUUGUGGGGCUAAUAUCAGAGCGGUGGAAUGACGGCGCCUCCUCCGCUGCUGCCUAACCUUGGCUUCUCCUGGAUGCUCGGCACUGCGCUGACAGCCUCACUGUGUCUAACACCGCUCUUCUACCCCGUGACAGCUCCCAGCAUCUCGGCGUCGAGACAAGAGAGCGAAUCCUACAGGAGCAGCACGCACUGACGAAGAGCGAGCGUCCAACGCCGGCUUCAGAUGCAGCGACGUGAUGAAUGAAAGCAGCAGCAAACUGAUUCUGUAAAUAGAUAAAGUACAACUAAACCCAAAUAAAAUAAACUAAGUAAAGUGCUUUUAUUCCAGCCAUGA